RNAcentral lists this long non-coding RNA (215 nucleotides) under Sus scrofa (pig). RNAcentral's name for it is "lncRNA (ENSSSCG00030057044.1)". The record is from RNAcentral. Lineage: Eukaryota; Metazoa; Chordata; Mammalia; Artiodactyla; Suidae.
ACACAGUUAUUUUCAACCAACUGCAAACAAGAGAGAUGAGUCAUCAUCUGGAGCACAUGGAUUAUGGGAGGAUUCCAAAUACCCUUCCCCAGUGCAUAUUCAAAACAUCCCAAGUUUAAAACUGGAAAUGCUGAUUGCUUCAGAGCCACUUAAAGUCAUUCCUUAGAAACAUCAUGCUCUUGCCAUUUUGUGAAAAUAUGUCCAAGAAAUGAAAU